Molecule: ribosomal RNA, 497 nt
Filed under: uncultured bacterium
Lineage: Bacteria
Description: partial 16S ribosomal RNA
Rfam family: Bacterial small subunit ribosomal RNA
Source: RNAcentral
GAUGAACGCUGGCGGCGUGCCUAAUACAUGCAAGUCGAGCGAACGGACGCGGAGCUUGCUUUUCUCAUGUUUGCGGCGGACGUGUGAGUCACACGUGUAUCACCUACCUAUCAGACUGGGAUCACUUCGGGACACCGGAGCUAAUCCCGGAUAAUAUUUUGCACCGCAUGGUUCAAUAGUGAAAGACGGUCUUGCUGUCACUUCUCGCUGCAUCUGCGCUGCAUUAGCUAGUUGUUACGUUAACGGCUUACCAAGGCAACGAUGCGUAGCCGACCUCACAGGCGGAUAGGCGACACGGGAACGGGAACACGGUCCAGACGACUGCGGGAGGCAGCAGUAGGGAAUCUGCGGCAAUGGGCGAAAGCCUGACGGAGCAACGCGGCGUGAGAGAUGGAGGCGUUGGGAUCGUAAAACCGGGUUAUGAGGGAAGAACAUAUGUGUAAGGAAAUGAGCAGAUCGUGACGGUACCUAAUCAGAAAGCCACGGCUAACUACGUG